Molecule: ribosomal RNA, 1872 nt
Filed under: Reuteroscopus sp. KLM-2013
Lineage: Eukaryota; Metazoa; Arthropoda; Insecta; Hemiptera; Miridae
Description: SSU rRNA
Rfam family: Eukaryotic small subunit ribosomal RNA
Source: RNAcentral
AGGCUCAGUAAACCAGUCAUGAUUCACGGAAAGUAAUCUGACUGAACUCAGAUGGAUAACUGUGGUAAUCCUAGAGCUAAUACAUGCAAUCAAGUCCCGAACGGGUAAAACUGUGACGGACGCUUUUAUUAGAUCAAGACCAAUCGCUUGUCCGGGUCAUGCCGCAAGCGUUGUCCUUGGUGACUCUAGGUAACACAAACGAUCGCACGGUCUCGUACCGGCGACAUAUCCUUCAAAUGCCUGACUUAUCACACUUACGAUGGUAGGCUCCAUGUCUACCAUGGUGAUAACGGGUAACGGGGAAUCAGGGUUCGAUUCCGGAGAGGGAGCCUGAGAAACGGCUACCACAUCCAAGGAAGGCAGCAGGCACGCAAAUUACCCACUCCCGGCACGGGGAGGUAGUGACAAAAAAUAACGAUACGGGGCUCCUAUGAGAUCCCGUAAUCGGAAUGAGUACACUUUAAAUCCUUUAACAAGGAUCCAUUGGAGGGCAAGUCUGGUGCCAGCAGCCGCGGUAAUUCCAGCUCCAAUAGCGUAUAUUAAAGUUGUUGCGGUUAAAAAGCUCGUAGUUGGUUCUGCGUGCCACGCUGUCGGUUCGCCGCCUGUCGGUGACACUGGCAUGUCGUGGCAUGUCCUGUCGGAGGGGUGGCGGGGCCUCGUGCGGGCGGCCGGCGGUGCGGCGUUCCACUCCGGUGGGCUCCCAUCUCGGCACGUCGGCGGGGAUUCAACUCCGUCCUCCCCGUUCCUACCUAGGUGCUCUUCACCGAGUGUCGAGGUAGGCCGACAAUUUUACUUUGCUCAAAGCAAAGUGCUCAAAGCAGGCUGAAAAAUUCUGCCUAUAUGAACAUGCAUGGAAUAAUAAAACAGGACCUUGGUUCUAUUUUGUUGGUUUUCGGAUCACAAGGUAAUGAUCAAUAAGGACAGGCGGGGGCAUUCGUAUUGCGGGGUUAGAGGUGAAAUUCUUGGAUCCUCGCAAGACGACCGAGAGCGAAAGCAUUUGCCAAGUAUGUCUCGAUUGAUCAAGAACGAAAGUUAGAGGUUCGAAGGCGAUCAGAUACCGCCCUAGUUCUAACCAUAAACGAUGCCAGCCAGCGAUCCGUCGGUGUUCCUCCGAUGACCCGACGGGGAGCUUCCCCCCGGGAAACCAAAGCUUUUGGGUUCCGGGGGAAGUAUGGUUGCAAAGCUGAAACUUAAAGGAAUUGACGGAAGGGCACCACCAGGAGUGGAGCCUGCGGCUUAAUUUGACUCAACACGGGAAACCUCACCAGGCCAGGACAUUGUCAGGAUUGACAGAUUGAUAGCUCUUUCUUGAUUCAGUGGGUAGUGGUGCAUGGCCGUUCUUAGUUGGUGGAUCGAUUUGUCUGGUUAAUUCCGAUAACGAACGAGACUCUCACCUAUUAACUAGACGGAACUCAGAGCCCCCGUCUUUGGCGAGAUAAAUCUUCUUAAGGGGACAGCCGGCUUAUAGCCGCAUGAGAAUGAGCAAUAACAGGUCUGUGAUGCCCUUAGAUGUCCUGGGCCGCACGCGCGCUACAAUGAAGGAAUCAGCGUGUGCCUCCUGGCUCGACAGGGCCGGGUAAUCCGCUGAACCUCCUCCGUGCUGGGGAUUGUAGCGUGCAAUUAAUUUCAUGAACGGGGAAUUCCCAGUAAGUGCGAGUCAUUAGCUCGCGCUGAUUACGUCCCUGCCCUUUGUACACACCGCCCGUCGCUACUACCGAUUGAAUGAUUUAGUGAGGUCUUCGGACUGGCGGGAAAUCUGUGCCGGGAGCAAUCUCGGUCGUGACGAACGCUGGAAAGAUGACCAAACUUGAUCAUUUAGAGGAAGUAAAAGUCGUAACAAGGUUUCCGUAGGUGAACCUGCGGAAGGGAUCA